This 198-nucleotide microRNA precursor is filed under the name Oryza brachyantha (malo sina). RNAcentral's name for it is "MIR812 microRNA precursor family". It matches the Rfam family "MIR812 microRNA precursor family". Lineage: Eukaryota; Viridiplantae; Streptophyta; Magnoliopsida; Poales; Poaceae. The record is from Rfam by way of RNAcentral.
AAUAAACCAAUUUUUCACUUUUUAUCUAUAAUUUUUUAUUCUUCGUCUUAUUCAGAUUUUUUUGCGAUUGAUAUUUUUGUUUUUAUUAGAUGAUAAAUCAUGAAUAGUACUUUACGUGUGACUAUUUUUUUUAAUUUUCUGAAUUUUUUUCAAAUAAGACGGAUGGUCAAACGUUGGACACGGAAAUCGGAAAUCAGA